UACUUCUUUAUGUGAGAGAGAACAUGUGUGGGAGUCAGUGGAGUCCAGGGGCCGAGCCAGGGCCCUGGGCCCCAGGGGCGAAGGUCAGCCCAGAGUGAGGCAAGUCUUGCCUUCUGACAGCCCUGGGGCUCAGGACAGGAGGCCGCACCUGGCAGCGUGGAGGGCAGCGAGGCCAGAACGAAAGCUUCCCGUAGCCCCACAGCAGUGAGAAUGGGGUCAGAGGGAGCGAGGGUGACGCUGCGUGGGUUCACCCACUUCCAAAGCCAGCCCCGCAUCUCCGGUUCCUGGUGCCCAUCAGCCCACCCACCGCACCCAGGCCCUGGCCCUAGGACAGAGGCCCCUGACUCAAGGAGGUGAAGCAGAGGAGUCUAAGUGUGACUCCCCGAAGAGCGGCGCAAUCUGUGGACCCUGGGUUCUCAGCCCCCCUCCCAGAACCACAGAGAUUGUGCAUCUCCCCGGGAGCCUUUCCCGGAAUCCGCCCGAUCUCUCUCCUUUCUUGCCACCCCCUCCCUCCUCAUCACCCCUCUGCCUCCUGUGACUCCCACUGGCUGCCCAUCCAGCUGACCCAGGACCAGGAUAAUCAGAUUACCUCGGGUCCAGAAUAAUCCAUUCCAUAUGGCUUGCCAACUCAGAGGCUCCGGGAACUAAAGGUGUGAGGAAAGGGGGUGAUCUUGGUAGGAAGGGGUUCCCGGGGAUCCUCGGGGGCCUUAGCGGGGGAAGGAGGGAGGUGGGGAGAAGUCGGGCGCCUUCCUGCUGAGCCCCCUGACUGCUCUGGGACCCGAGGGGACCACGGCCUCAUCCAUCUGGGACCCACAGGGGCUUAGGAUCUGUGCUGGGGGGCUGGGCACUCCCAGUGCCUUUUCCACUCUCUGGAUUGGGACGUGGCCACUAUAGGGUGCUGCUGCUCGGAAGGGGCUGAGGUUCAUAACUCUGGGGCAACUGUACUUUUCACACCCACAUUCUCCUGCUUUGUCCCCCCAGGGCUCUGGUGGAACAGGUCCAGGGGGAGCAUGGAAACCUUCUUCUAUCUCCAUGGGUCCCUGUGACUUGUGACAAGAUGUUGUGGGUGUUUGAGGAUUCUGGGGGAGUCUCCCCCACACCAGCACCCUCCUUCUUGGGGCAGCCUUCGGGAGGAAAGGAGCCCCUCCCGUCUUCCCGAGGAGACAGGACCGGUGCUGGGGAGAACAGAACACAGGCUUUGACCCAGGCCGAGGCAAAAGGGUCCCAACUCGGCCCCUGUUUGCCAUGUGACACAGGACCACCUCUCCACACCUCCAUUCCCUCAUCUGCAGAGGGAGGCAGUGACGCCCACAUCGCCGCAGGAUGGAGAGCUGUGACCCAGCCAUGCCCAGUGCGGUGCCAGGCCCAGGUGACAGUAACAAACGUGACCACGGCUGUGGCCAAAGGCCAGUCCACGCAGGACAACUGGAUCCAUAUGAUGUCAACACGGCAGGCAUUACCCCGUGGCUCAAGAGCAGAAGCUGGGGCCUGAGGACCCGGAGUGAGUUCCCCAUGGGACACAGGCAGUGCCUGGCAGGCCACACUCCAGAGGGGGUGUCCUAGGCUGUGUCAAGGCGGCCGCUUGUUAAUAGCAGCCCCCCACCCCGAAGGCCCUCCCUCUCAGGCUGGUGCCAGAGUGUGGUGGGAAGACCACGGCGUCGUCGGGGACACCUCCGUGAGGAGCCUCCUGGGAGACGCCCCUGCGGAUGCUAAGAGCUGCUUCCCUCUCCUGGGGCCUCUGGCUCCGGCGGGGACAGGGAUUAGGGGCCACAAGAGGAGUAUUGACAUAGCACCUUUGAUUAGCACUCCUGUGUCAGAAGGGCUGGCCGGGAAAUGAGAGCUCGGAGCCUGGAAGGUGGGAGGGGGCUGCAUCCAGGACCCAGGCCUAGGCCCGAGGAGCUGGCUGAGUCUUCUUAGCGGAAGGCUGAGACCCAGGCCUCGUAUAGAGUCCGAAGUGCUCUACCCUGGGUCCCAGAGGAGGCCGCCCUGUCCUGCCUGCCCCCACCCCGGCCAAGGGCCCCAACUGAACUCUCACCUCUGCUCAGUGGGGCUGCCCCCAGGCCUCAUUUCCCAGCCUUACACGUUGGCAGGCGGAGGCAGGCUCGGGCCAGGGGAGCAGGAGCCACUGGCUCCGGCACUUGUCAAAACACAGGCCCCUGAGGUGUGAAGGCCUCACCCUGGCAGGAGGGCCCGCAGGCCCUGCUGCCCGGAGAACUCAUUAGCUGGGGCAGCUCCCAAAUGAGCCCACAGGAGAGGCUGGCUGAUAAGGAGAUCAAAGGUGAGAGAGGCCUGGGGGAAAGGGAAAAGGCGACUGGCAGGAGGAGGCAGAGCCCAGGCUCCAGGUUGGGGAGGGGGUCCCUCCUCUGCCCGAUCUUGGCUGCAUUAGGCCCACUGGCAAUGUCCCUUGCACACACUGGCCUUGGGACCCCCCACUCCCGCGUCCAGGGUGUAGCAGGAGAGGGAGGGACUCCCUGGUGGUAGCCUCUGGGGCUGAGGCCCCCCAGCUUGGGAUGGAGGUGAAACCGGCCAUCUGCUGCACCUCUCUCAUGCCCUUUCUGGGGGCUCUUUGCCUCCACACUCGCCCAGGGGACUUCUGAGCCCUCCCCCAGCCUGACAGCAGAACUCCUCCUGUCACGGGCGCUCCAUCGCGGUGUCUCUCCUGCUCCAAGCCUCUCGGUGGUUCCCAGGCAAGGGCCCAAGGAGGUCAGAUCUUAGGUCCCCAAUGUGCGAAUCCUCAGGAGCCAGAGCUGUGUUUAGGAUAAACAGUCCGCCUCCCACACAUAUGGCCUGUUGUCCAAAAUGUGUCUGGUUGAUUCUGUGCUGAAUAAAGAGUCAUUCCA
Molecule: long non-coding RNA, 2840 nt
Organism: Mustela erminea (ermine)
Lineage: Eukaryota; Metazoa; Chordata; Mammalia; Carnivora; Mustelidae
Exons: 4
Source: RefSeq, a predicted model, not a curated record